CCUACGGGAGGCAGCAGUGAGGAAUAUUGGUCAAUGGACGAGAGUCUGAACCAGCCAAGUAGCGUGAAGGAUGACUGCCCUAUGGGUUGUAAACUUCUUUUAUAUGGGAAUAAAACGUUCCACGUGUGGGAUUUUGUAUGUACCAUAUGAAUAAGGAUCGGCUAACUCCGUGCCAGCAGCCGCGGUAAUACGGAGGAUCCGAGCGUUAUCCGGAUUUAUUGGGUUUAAAGGGAGCGUAGGUGGAUUGUUAAGUCAGUUGUGAAAGUUUGCGGCUCAAACGUAAAAUUGCAGUUGAAACUGGCAGUCUUGAGUACAGUAGAGGUGGGCGGAAUUCGUGGUGUAGCGGUGAAAUGCGUAGAUAUCACGAAGAACUCCGAUUGCGAAGGCAGUUCACUGGACUGCAACUGACACUGAGGCUCGAAAGUGUGGGUAUCAAACAGGAUUAGAUACCCGUGUAGUC
RNAcentral lists this ribosomal RNA (460 nucleotides) under uncultured bacterium. RNAcentral's name for it is "partial 16S ribosomal RNA". It matches the Rfam family "Bacterial small subunit ribosomal RNA", at positions 338 to 795 of the family's 1533-position model. The record is from RNAcentral.